UGCGCAGGCGGCCAUGUGUGUCAGGUGUGAAAUACCGGGGCUUAACCCCGGAACUGCGCCUGAAACUACAUGGCUAGAGUACUGGAGAGGGUAGUGGAAUUCACGGUGUAGCAGUGAAAUGCGUAGAUAUCGUGAGGAACACCAGAGGCGAAGGCGACUACCUGGACAGUUACUGACGCUCAGGCACGAAAGCGUGGGGAGCCAAAGGGAUUAGAUACCCCUGUAGUCCACGCCCUAAACGGUGCACACUAGGUCUUGGCGGAUUCGACCCCGCCAGGGCCCAAGCUAACGCGUUAAGUGUGCCGCCUGAGGACUACGGCCGCAAGGCUAAA
Molecule: ribosomal RNA, 332 nt
Filed under: uncultured bacterium
Lineage: Bacteria
Description: bacterial SSU rRNA
Rfam family: Bacterial small subunit ribosomal RNA
Source: RNAcentral